Long non-coding RNA from Anopheles stephensi (Asian malaria mosquito), 5126 nucleotides. RefSeq lists it as uncharacterized. The transcript has 3 exons. The record is from RefSeq and is a predicted model, not a curated record. Lineage: Eukaryota; Metazoa; Arthropoda; Insecta; Diptera; Culicidae.
UCUAAGAGGCAGGUUGAAUAGAAUCACCUGAGAAGCUGUGAUUUAGCUUGUGGUAUGUUUGCGCGUGCAAAACAUUCGGUUGGUUUGCUUUAAUAUUGAUUUGAUUUUGGAAUUGUCGUGAUGGCUGAUAAACGUAAAACAACCACUAAACAACACUUUGAGGUGCUUGUUUCUUUGAUUGAAAGGAACGGGUCCGUAGCGGGGGUUCGGGACAAGGGGUCCAACAAAUUUUGGCAUGAAGUAGCCACAAAUCUGCACGAUUUGGGCCCUCCGACAAAAGACGUAUCUGGUUGGAAAAAGGUUUGGGCUGAUUAUAAAUCAGGCUUGAAGAAGAAGUUGGCUCACAAUAGGAGCGAAUAUCGUGCUACGGGAGGAGGCCCAUGAUCAUUGCGAAACUUCAAUGCGCUCGAACAGAAAGUGAUUGAGGUUUAAGAUUUGCAACGUGCUGUUGACGGUACUCCUAAUGUACCUGCUUUGGGUGCUGUGGAGCCCAUGAUUUCUGCACCAACGCAUAUUGGUAGCUCGUCGCAAUGUGGACAGCAGCAACACAACACUGACUCUGAAGUUGAGACCAUUGCUUGUUCUCAAGUAACAGAGCAUAACGUAGUUGUUGAAGAUUGUGAAACCAUACCUGAGACCAGAACAAAUCGACGAGUUAAAAGGGAAACAAUUGCGGAGCAACAAUUGCUGGUGUAAUAUGCAGGGAAUACGGUCGCAUAUGUAUAUUUUUGAUACAUUAUAUAUUUCGUUUUGUCUCCCAUUAAAAUAGACUUUUCGUUUUUGAAAAAAGACGUUUUGUAUUAAAUAGAUAUUUCGACUCUCUUGGGUCGAAUAAAUUUCUUUUUAUAAAUAUUCUAAAAAUUGUAUGCAUUACUUAUCUUCGUUUUCACAUUUUUGAUGCGCCAUAUGCUUUUCUGCCGGUACUCGUUUACGUUGUCAUCUUGCUGGUUCUCGUGUUCGUUAUCAUCUUGGUGGGACUCUUGUCCGUACGCAUCUACGUUGGAGACUCCUGUCUCUUUGGAUCCCGCCGGUCCACUUUCGUGCACCGUGGUCUCGCCUUCCACUGCAGUAGUCGCUUCAUCUUGCACAAUUCACGAUUCACAAUUUAGAAAUUGUCUAAUGAUUUUCACCUCACUUGCGUUGUUUUUUUUUUUUUUUUGUUUCUUUUUACAGGAAUUUUGUAACUUAUUCACAUUUCGAUUGUUCAGGUUAUUCGUUCGUCACUAUGAUCAUAAUGUUUCGUCACUUUUAAAUCUUAUAUCGUCUUUGUACACAAUUCACAAGGCAUUUCCUCCUUUCACUUUACCUUAUCCCGGGCAUUCUCGGUUAUGAUCGAUAUCUUUGAUUCACAUUUUGUGUACAACACUGAUCACUCUGUUUUUGUUUAUUCAUUGUACUUAGUCCGCUUUACUUGACUGCUUUGCUGAGAUUAAACCCAUCUUGCAGUUUUUGUCUCUGCUUAUUUAUGGCUUUUUUCAUUGCAUGUAUAUGCAUUGCACUUUUUGUAAAAAUUUUCGAUAUUCUGGAUGAUUUCUAAUAAAAUCAAUCACUGGUUUUGCAAUUCACUUCUUGCGGCAGCACUAGUUUUUUCACUUCACUUGUCACUUAAUUCACGAAGAUUGCAGAAUAAACUCACGGUCGCCAUGUAAUAUGCAGGGAAUACGGUCGCCAUGUAACAUGGAGGAAAGCGGUUACCAUGUGAUACGCGGGAUCGGUCGGUCUUUUACGACGGGGCUUUGCGCAUAUUCGAUUUGAAUCGCGCCGUACUUACGUGGUUCAUUUGGGUUUCGACGAGAGCGACGAACAGCAACUUGCUGAGCGAACCAAUUCUUCCCUUUAUCGAUUGUCCAGGCAAUCGUGAAGAUUCUAGAUGAGAAUCUUCCUUACUGGAUUGUUGGAGACAUCGAGGCCUUACCUUUGGUAGGGGGACACUCGAAGCUUAUCGGCGUUGAGUCGGCCAGGUGACUCUAGAUAUUCAGAAGGAACAUCCCAUACUGUUUCGUUGGAGCCUUUGAGGCCUUACCUUGGGUAGGGGGACUCUCAAAGCUCUUGAAAGGAAUUGGACGUCAGAUUUGAGUUGCGUCAAGUCUCAGCCCAGAACCAACUUUCUCGUUGGCUGGGGAAGACAGCUUUAUUUAUACCAGCUUUAUUACUUUAUUCUUACAGUUUAAUAAAGUUCAAUUUACUUAAUUUAGGUUGAGUUUAUGUUAAAUUCAAAAUAACUUUUUCUAUUUGUUUUUUUUUCCUGGUUGGCGACAAAGGCAUAAAGUUUUUGUCGUCAACAAAAGUGUCGAAUUUCGUUUGGAUGGAUGGACUUGUGUUAUUGUUUGUUAGUUCGAAUAAGUCUUGUUUUGUUUGUUCGUUGAACAGCAUUGUCUAAAAAUUUGCUUACAUUAACGUUCCGCAUGGAGACAAGAACUAAAGGUUCUUGGCGCAAACAAUGUGUCGCCUUACGUUGCGCAAUUUUGGUUCGAUAUGGGUUAGGUGGUUUGCUUCAGUUUAAUUGCCGAUUUACCGUUGCUGUGCUUGAUAAAAUGUGUCGCUAUGGAUGAGUUGGUCGCGGUGCGAUCGAUUGCUACGCUCGCAUAAAAUGUGUCGUUAUGACUAUGCCUGUUUUGUUCUAUUUGUUUGCGAUAGUUCGGAGUGGAUAAAGUUUUACGCUUAGUUGCUGACCGUUGUCUGCACCGUGCGAUGUAUGGUGCAUUGGUUGGUUUGGUUUCGUAUUGCAUUGCGCAACUCGCUAGCCGAGUGCGCUAGUCGGUUUUUAAUGUUCUUAUUGCAAUGGAUGUUUGGUCAAAUUUGCUGAAUAUGCUGUUCUUGGUGGGGUACAGGGUGCUUGAGUUUAAAUAAUUGUUGCGUAAGGUUCUGGUGUGAUUGACCAUUUCUACGUACGUGUUUAUAAAAUGUAUGUUUUCAUGAGGUGUUUUUGAGAUGUUUAGCAGUGAUGCUACACUGGAGCUUCGCAAGUACAACCUAACUCAACAAAAUUUGCUUCGUGUUGUAGAGUUGUUCGUUUAUUAAACUGUUCCAGACUUACGUCCUAUCACGAUCACGUUCGCUAACACUCUGCCGGUUUUCCAUUCUCUGCUUGGUAUCCCCGUUACUUAUCUGUAACACACGUUACAUUUGUUACCCAGUUGACAUUACUGCCUUGCGUUACCCAGUUGACAUUAUUUGAAUUAAUCGUUAUAGUCUAGUACUCUACAUCCCUCCCCACAUAACCUCCUUACGACCACAAAGUCUGAUAUAAGUCGGUAGAUUUUAGCUUGUACUGACUAUCCGACUUUGUGGUCUUAAAGGAAAAUUGGUUCCGAGACGUGCUAUUUUAUCUCAUGUCGGCAAAAAAAAAUUAUGGGAGAAAAAUAAAUUGUUGAAAUAUUUCUGAAAUGACUGGAAAUGUUUCACCUUUUAACUGAUUUUUGAAUGAUUUCAUCAGCUUCGAUUUUUUUUUCCCAAUUCGUUCAGUUGCCUUUUUGAUUUAUCGAAGAAUGCUUUGACAAAUUUUGCUUCGUCAAUUGACAAUUGUAGGCGUGCUUUGGUGCAUAUUGCGUGGUGUAGGUUUUGUUGUUUAUAAAAGUGCAUUUUUGACUUAAUUAACUAUGAUCUUGUUUUUCAAUUGGUUGUAGUGAAAUGUCUCACGAAAAUUACGCACGUUACUGGAAAAAGAGUGGCAUUUUGUAUAGAAGGAAAAGGCAAUUAGCAGCACUCAGAGAACAGUGCGAUUCUGUCGGAGUGUCAACCUUUGACCACACUGUUCAUGGGAAGUUUUAGUCCUUCUUCUAUUUGUCCUCUAGGAUGAGAUGAAAUUGUGAUUCAUGUGCUGAUAUUCUCAUUAAUUUUUAGAUGCGGUUGAAUCUGCCAUUGACGAUACAUCUGCCAUCGACGUAGAAGACCAUAUCGCUUCUUCUUCUAGUUCUAGUCGGUGAAAAAUACCAUGAAAUGUAGGUAUUGUUUUUUAUUCUUUCGACGGUGUCUUGCCCGCGCAACGUGUGUAAGAAGGAGAAAAGGCAUAGCUUGUUGUUUGCUUUUCUGUGUCUGUGUUUGAUUGUUGUGUCAAAAAACUUAUCGAAAGUCAACGAAUAAAAGUCUAAAAAAUUUUGAACGAAUAAUUUUAAUUGUUGAUUUAUUUCAUUUCAAAAGUGGUUGGAUGAAACGUUUCAAACCUCCGCUGAAAAAUUUCGGGACCGUGAAUGAAACAUUUCACAUUUAUGGUUUGUUUGUUAUAAUUAUGGCACGCUUUUUUUUCAUCCACGAAGUCUGUUAAUUACUGCUGUAAGUGUACAUAUAAGUCUACAUAUACGACUCCGUAUAUAGGUCGUAGUAAGGUCGGAUAUCGCUUUUUGGUUAUGUGGGUCACCUAGUCCAACAAAUCUAGACAAAUUUAACAAUAUAACACUUGUUUAACAUACUAAGGAAUAAACAAAACGAAAUCAUUCCCUAAACCUCAAUGGUAUGUUGACGUAUCUCUUUGGUCUCUCUGGGCAGGGGACCCUCGUUUUGGCCUUGCUUUUGUCCUGUCCCAUCUGAUAUUUUUAAGGAUGGAAUAUUAGUUUUACCUUCUUCUUGUAGAGUAUUCCUUGUGCUACUCGUCGUGGGACAUCUUAUUAUGUGAGCUACUGGUCUUCGAUACCUGUUUCCAUUUUCACCGGUUAUAACUACCUCUGUGCCAUUUCUUUCUACGACUGUAAAACGUUCUGCUCGGAAAGUAGGCUCUAAUUUACCCAUUUCAUAAUUUCUUAUGAAUACUUUGUUUCCAACACUUAUCGCAUUAUCCCUGGCAUGGCGUUUUCUAUCAGCGUACAAUUUUCCAUGCAUUUUGCUGAUCAUGUCUUUAUCGCGAACUUCUUCAUCCCGAUUCCAAUAAGGGUCAGUCCUUAAUGAAGGUAGUAGGUCUUUAACUGGUCUGCCCGUGAGAAGCUCCAUUGGAGAUUUUCCCCUAACUGAAUGAGGUGUUGUGUUAUAGCUAUAAACGUAUUCUUGCACCGCUUUCCUCCAAUCGUCUUUCAUUGCUUUGGCAAUCCGUAAAGCCCGCAAGAUACCCCUAUUCUGCCUUUCUACUCACCCAUUCAUCUGUGGCCAGUAUGGAAUAGUAUGUAUGACUCUAAUAUUUUUGCUCUUGCAAUAAC